GACGAACGCUGGCGGCGUGCUUAACACAUGUAAGUCGAACGCAUCCUUCGGGGUGAGUGGCAGACGGGUGAGUAACGCGUGGGAACGUGCCCUUCAGUUCGGGAUAACCCAGGGAAACUUGGGCUAAUACCGGAUACGUGCGAGAGCAGAAAGAUUUAUCGCUGAAGGAUCGGCCCGCGUCUGAUUAGCUAGUUGGUGGGGUAAUGGCCCACCAAGGCGACGAUCAGUAGCUGGUCUGAGAGGAUGGUCAGCCACAUUGGGACUGAGACACGGCCCAAACUCCUACGGGAGGCAGCAGUGGGGAAUAUUGGACAAUGGGCGCAAGCCUGAUCCAGCCAUGCCGCGUGAGUGAUGAAGGCCUUAGUGUUGUAAAGCUCUUUCGUCCGGGACGAUAAUGACGUUACCGGAAGAAGAAGCCCCGGCUAACUUCGUGCCAGCAGCCGCCGUAA
RNAcentral lists this ribosomal RNA (449 nucleotides) under uncultured bacterium. RNAcentral describes it as "partial 16S ribosomal RNA". It matches the Rfam family "Bacterial small subunit ribosomal RNA", at positions 28 to 523 of the family's 1533-position model. The record is from RNAcentral.